Molecule: ribosomal RNA, 230 nt
Filed under: uncultured bacterium
Lineage: Bacteria
Description: partial 16S ribosomal RNA
Rfam family: Bacterial small subunit ribosomal RNA
Source: RNAcentral
GCCUAACACAUGCAAGUCGAGCGCUCUCUUCGGAGGGAGCGGCGGACGGGUGAGUAACACGUGGGAACGUGCCCUUAGGUACGGAACAACAGCUGGAAACGGCUGCUAAUACCGUAUGAAGUCUCCGGACCAAAGAUUUAUCGCCUAAGGAUCGGCCCGCGUUGAUUAGAUAGUUGGUGGGGUAAUGGCCUACCAAGUCUACGAUCCAUAGCUGGUUUGAGAGGAUGAUC